This 1352-nucleotide ribosomal RNA is filed under the name uncultured Clostridiaceae bacterium. RNAcentral describes it as "bacterial SSU rRNA". It matches the Rfam family "Bacterial small subunit ribosomal RNA", at positions 28 to 1379 of the family's 1533-position model. Lineage: Bacteria; Bacillati; Bacillota; Clostridia; Eubacteriales; Clostridiaceae. The record is from RNAcentral.
GACGAACGCUGGCGGCGUGCCUAACACAUGCAAGUCGAGCGGAAUCAUAUAAAUUAAUCCUUCGGGAAGCGUUUAUAUGAUUUAGCGGCGGACGGGUGAGUAACGCGUGAGUAACCUGCCUGUAAGUGGGGGAUAACACAGAGAAAUUUGUGCUAAUACCGCAUAUUGAGAUAGAAUCGCAUGGUUUUAUCUUGAAAGAUUUAUCGCUUACAGAUGGACUCGCGUCUGAUUAGAUAGUUGGUGAGGUAACGGCUCACCAAGUCAACGAUCAGUAGCCGGACUGAGAGGUCGAACGGCCACAUUGGGACUGAGACACGGCCCAGACUCCUACGGGAGGCAGCAGUGGGGGAUAUUGCGCAAUGGGGGAAACCCUGACGCAGCAACGCCGCGUGAAGGAAGAAGGCCUUCGGGUUGUAAACUUUUGUCUUUGGGGAAGAAAAAAAUGACGGUACCCAAGGAGGAAGCCACGGCUAACUACGUGCCAGCAGCCGCGGUAAUACGUAGGUGGCGAGCGUUGUCCGGAUUUACUGGGUGUAAAGGGCGCGUAGGCGGGCUUGCAAGUCAGAUGUGAAAUACCGAGGCUUAACCUCGGCACUGCAUUUGAAACUGCAAGUCUUGAGUGUCGGAGAGGUAAGCGGAAUUCCUAGUGUAGCGGUGAAAUGCGUAGAUAUUAGGAGGAACACCAGUGGCGAAGGCGGCUUACUGGACGAUAACUGACGCUGAGGCGCGAAAGUGUGGGGAGCAAACAGGAUUAGAUACCCUGGUAGUCCACACCGUAAACGAUGGAUACUAGGUGUAGGGGGUAUCGACCCCCCCUGUGCCGCAGUUAACACAAUAAGUAUCCCACCUGGGGAGUACGGCCGCAAGGCUGAAACUCAAAGGAAUUGACGGGGGCCCGCACAAGCAGUGGAGUAUGUGGUUUAAUUCGAAGCAACGCGAAGAACCUUACCUGGGUUUGACAUCCUACGAAUCCUUAAGAGAUUAGGGAGUGCCUUCGGGAGCGUAGAGACAGGUGGUGCAUGGUUGUCGUCAGCUCGUGUCGUGAGAUGUUGGGUUAAGUCCCGCAACGAGCGCAACCCUUAUUGUCAGUUGCCAUCAUUAAGUUGGGCACUCUGGCGAGACUGCCGGUGAUAAAUCGGAGGAAGGUGGGGACGACGUCAAAUCAUCAUGCCCCUUAUAUCCAGGGCUACACACGUACUACAAUGGCCGGAAACAAAGUGCAGCGAAACCGUGAGGUGGAGCGAAUCACAAAACCCGGUCCCAGUUCAGAUUGCAGGCUGCAACUCGCCUGCAUGAAGUCGGAAUUGCUAGUAAUCGCGAAUCAGAAUGUCGCGGUGAAUACGUUCCCGGGC